UGGGGAAUAUUGGGCAAUGGACGAAAGUCUGACCCAGCGACGCCGCGUGAGGGAAGAAGGUCUUCGGAUUGUAAACCUCUGUUGUAAGGGAAGAAGAAAGUGACGGUACCUUACGAGGAAGCCACGGCUAACUACGUGCCAGCAGCCGCGGUAAUACGUAGGUGGCAAGCGUUAUCCGGAAUUACUGGGUGUAAAGGGUGUGUAGGCGGGACAGCAAGUCAGAUGUGAAAACUAUGGGCUCAACCCAUAGCCUGCAUUUGAAACUGUAGUUCUUGAGUAUCGGAGAGGUGAGUGGAAUUCCCAGUGUAGCGGUGAAAUGCGUAGAUAUUGGGAGGAACACCAGUGGCGAAGGCGACUCACUGGACGAUUACUGACGCUGAGACACGAAAGCGUGGGGAGCAAACAGG
This 407-nucleotide ribosomal RNA is filed under the name uncultured prokaryote. Its description in RNAcentral is "bacterial SSU rRNA". It matches the Rfam family "Bacterial small subunit ribosomal RNA", at positions 355 to 776 of the family's 1533-position model. RNAcentral also lists the same sequence under 1 other name. The record is from RNAcentral.